Molecule: ribosomal RNA, 139 nt
Filed under: uncultured bacterium
Lineage: Bacteria
Description: partial 16S rRNA
Rfam family: Bacterial small subunit ribosomal RNA
Source: RNAcentral
UGAGGAAUAUUGGUCAAUGGACGAGAGUCUGAACCAGCCAAGUAGCGUGAAGGAUGACUGCCCUAUGGGUUGUAAACUUCUUUUAUACGGGAAUAAAGUGAGGCACGUGUGCCUUUUUGUAUGUACCGUAUGAAUAAGG